CAGUAGCCGCGGUAAUGCGUAGGUGGCAAGCGUUGUCCGGAAUUAUUGGGCGUAAAGGGCUCGCAGGCGGUUUCUUAAGUCUGAUGUGAAAGCCCCCGGCUCAACCGGGGAGGGUCAUUGGAAACUGGGAAACUUGAGUGCAGAAGAGGAGAGUGGAAUUCCACGUGUAGCGGUGAAAUGCGUAGAGAUGUGGAGGAACACCAGUGGCGAAGGCGACUCUCUGGUCUGUAACUGACGCUGAGGAGCGAAAGCGUGGGGAGCGAACAGGAUUAGAUACCCCCGUAGUCCCUGUCUCUUAUAC
RNAcentral lists this ribosomal RNA (301 nucleotides) under uncultured bacterium. RNAcentral's name for it is "partial 16S ribosomal RNA". It matches the Rfam family "Bacterial small subunit ribosomal RNA", at positions 509 to 807 of the family's 1533-position model. The record is from RNAcentral.